RNAcentral lists this ribosomal RNA (2893 nucleotides) under Escherichia coli O104:H4. RNAcentral's name for it is "bacterial LSU rRNA". It matches the Rfam family "Bacterial large subunit ribosomal RNA". The record is from RNAcentral. Lineage: Bacteria; Pseudomonadati; Pseudomonadota; Gammaproteobacteria; Enterobacterales; Enterobacteriaceae.
ACUAAGCGUACACGGUGGAUGCCCUGGCAGUCAGAGGCGAUGAAGGACGUGCUAAUCUGCGAUAAGCGUCGGUAAGGUGAUAUGAACCGUUAUAACCGGCGAUUUCCGAAUGGGGAAACCCAGUGUGUUUCGACACACUAUCAUUAACUGAAUCCAUAGGUUAAUGAGGCGAACCGGGGGAACUGAAACAUCUAAGUACCCCGAGGAAAAGAAAUCAACCGAGAUUCCCCCAGUAGCGGCGAGCGAACGGGGAGCAGCCCAGAGCCUGAAUCAGUAUGUGUGUUAGUGGAAGCGUCUGGAAAGGCGCGCGAUACAGGGUGACAGCCCCGUACACAAAAAUGCACAUGCUGUGAGCUCGAUGAGUAGGGCGGGACACGUGGUAUCCUGUCUGAAUAUGGGGGGACCAUCCUCCAAGGCUAAAUACUCCUGACUGACCGAUAGUGAACCAGUACCGUGAGGGAAAGGCGAAAAGAACCCCGGCGAGGGGAGUGAAAAAGAACCUGAAACCGUGUACGUACAAGCAGUGGGAGCACGCUUAGGCGUGUGACUGCGUACCUUUUGUAUAAUGGGUCAGCGACUUAUAUUCUGUAGCAAGGUUAACCGAAUAGGGGAGCCGAAGGGAAACCGAGUCUUAACUGGGCGUUAAGUUGCAGGGUAUAGACCCGAAACCCGGUGAUCUAGCCAUGGGCAGGUUGAAGGUUGGGUAACACUAACUGGAGGACCGAACCGACUAAUGUUGAAAAAUUAGCGGAUGACUUGUGGCUGGGGGUGAAAGGCCAAUCAAACCGGGAGAUAGCUGGUUCUCCCCGAAAGCUAUUUAGGUAGCGCCUCGUGAAUUCAUCUCCGGGGGUAGAGCACUGUUUCGGCAAGGGGGUCAUCCCGACUUACCAACCCGAUGCAAACUGCGAAUACCGGAGAAUGUUAUCACGGGAGACACACGGCGGGUGCUAACGUCCGUCGUGAAGAGGGAAACAACCCAGACCGCCAGCUAAGGUCCCAAAGUCAUGGUUAAGUGGGAAACGAUGUGGGAAGGCCCAGACAGCCAGGAUGUUGGCUUAGAAGCAGCCAUCAUUUAAAGAAAGCGUAAUAGCUCACUGGUCGAGUCGGCCUGCGCGGAAGAUGUAACGGGGCUAAACCAUGCACCGAAGCUGCGGCAGCGACGCUUAUGCGUUGUUGGGUAGGGGAGCGUUCUGUAAGCCUGUGAAGGUGUACUGUGAGGUAUGCUGGAGGUAUCAGAAGUGCGAAUGCUGACAUAAGUAACGAUAAAGCGGGUGAAAAGCCCGCUCGCCGGAAGACCAAGGGUUCCUGUCCAACGUUAAUCGGGGCAGGGUGAGUCGACCCCUAAGGCGAGGCCGAAAGGCGUAGUCGAUGGGAAACAGGUUAAUAUUCCUGUACUUGGUGUUACUGCGAAGGGGGGACGGAGAAGGCUAUGUUGGCCGGGCGACGGUUGUCCCGGUUUAAGCGUGUAGGCUGGUUUUCCAGGCAAAUCCGGAAAAUCAAGGCUGAGGCGUGAUGACGAGGCACUACGGUGCUGAAGCAACAAAUGCCCUGCUUCCAGGAAAAGCCUCUAAGCAUCAGGUAACAUCAAAUCGUACCCCAAACCGACACAGGUGGUCAGGUAGAGAAUACCAAGGCGCUUGAGAGAACUCGGGUGAAGGAACUAGGCAAAAUGGUGCCGUAACUUCGGGAGAAGGCACGCUGAUAUGUAGGUGAAGCGACUUGCUCGUGGAGCUGAAAUCAGUCGAAGAUACCAGCUGGCUGCAACUGUUUAUUAAAAACACAGCACUGUGCAAACACGAAAGUGGACGUAUACGGUGUGACGCCUGCCCGGUGCCGGAAGGUUAAUUGAUGGGGUCAGCGCAAGCGAAGCUCUUGAUCGAAGCCCCGGUAAACGGCGGCCGUAACUAUAACGGUCCUAAGGUAGCGAAAUUCCUUGUCGGGUAAGUUCCGACCUGCACGAAUGGCGUAAUGAUGGCCAGGCUGUCUCCACCCGAGACUCAGUGAAAUUGAACUCGCUGUGAAGAUGCAGUGUACCCGCGGCAAGACGGAAAGACCCCGUGAACCUUUACUAUAGCUUGACACUGAACAUUGAGCCUUGAUGUGUAGGAUAGGUGGGAGGCUUUGAAGUGUGGACGCCAGUCUGCAUGGAGCCGACCUUGAAAUACCACCCUUUAAUGUUUGAUGUUCUAACGUGGACCCGUAAUCCGGGUUGCGGACAGUGUCUGGUGGGUAGUUUGACUGGGGCGGUCUCCUCCUAAAGAGUAACGGAGGAGCACGAAGGUUGGCUAAUCCUGGUCGGACAUCAGGAGGUUAGUGCAAUGGCAUAAGCCAGCUUGACUGCGAGCGUGACGGCGCGAGCAGGUGCGAAAGCAGGUCAUAGUGAUCCGGUGGUUCUGAAUGGAAGGGCCAUCGCUCAACGGAUAAAAGGUACUCCGGGGAUAACAGGCUGAUACCGCCCAAGAGUUCAUAUCGACGGCGGUGUUUGGCACCUCGAUGUCGGCUCAUCACAUCCUGGGGCUGAAGUAGGUCCCAAGGGUAUGGCUGUUCGCCAUUUAAAGUGGUACGCGAGCUGGGUUUAGAACGUCGUGAGACAGUUCGGUCCCUAUCUGCCGUGGGCGCUGGAGAACUGAGGGGGGCUGCUCCUAGUACGAGAGGACCGGAGUGGACGCAUCACUGGUGUUCGGGUUGUCAUGCCAAUGGCACUGCCCGGUAGCUAAAUGCGGAAGAGAUAAGUGCUGAAAGCAUCUAAGCACGAAACUUGCCCCGAGAUGAGUUCUCCCUGACUCCUUGAGAGUCCUGAAGGAACGUUGAAGACGACGACGUUGAUAGGCCGGGUGUGUAAGCGCAGCGAUGCGUUGAGCUAACCGGUACUAAUGAACCGUGAGGCUUAACC